CAGCAGCCGCGGUAAGACGAACCGUGCGAACGUUAUUCGGAAUCACUGGGCUUAAAGCGCGUGCAGGCGGGAGGGCACGUCCGUCGCUGAAAUCCCCCGGCUCAACCGGGGAACGGGCGCGGAUACGACUCUUCUGGAGGAACGUAGGGGGACCUGGAACUUCCGGUGGAGCGGUGAAAUGCGUUGAGAUCGGAAGGAACGCCCGUGGCGAAAGCGGGGUCCUGGACGUUUACUGACGCUGAGACGCGAAAGCCAGGGGAGCGAACGGGAUUAGAUACCCCAGUAGUCCCUGUCUCUUAUA
This 301-nucleotide ribosomal RNA is filed under the name uncultured bacterium. Its description in RNAcentral is "partial 16S ribosomal RNA". It matches the Rfam family "Bacterial small subunit ribosomal RNA", at positions 509 to 807 of the family's 1533-position model. The record is from RNAcentral.